UAUUGCUCAAUGGGGGAAACCCUGAAGCAGCAACGCCGCGUGGAGGAUGAAGGUUUUAGGAUUGUAAACUCCUUUUGUUAGAGAAGAUAAUGACGGUAUCUAACGAAUAAGCACCGGCUAACUCCGUGCCAGCAGCCGCGGUAAUACGGAGGGUGCAAGCGUUACUCGGAAUCACUGGGCGUAAAGAGCGCGUAGGCGGGAUAGUCAGUCAGGUGUGAAAUCCUAUGGCUUAACCAUAGAACUGCAUUUGAAACUACUAUUCUAGAGUGUGGGAGAGGUAGGUAGAAUUCUUGGCGUAGGGGUAAAAUCCGUAGAGAUCAAGAGGAAUACUCAUUGCGAAGGCGACCUGCUGGAACAUUACUGACGCUGAUGCGCG
RNAcentral lists this ribosomal RNA (376 nucleotides) under uncultured bacterium. RNAcentral describes it as "bacterial SSU rRNA". It matches the Rfam family "Bacterial small subunit ribosomal RNA", at positions 362 to 755 of the family's 1533-position model. The record is from RNAcentral.